AAGCUCACUUCAGUAGCACAAAUACUAACAUUAGAACAACCCAGAGAAGAUUAGCACAGCCUGUGGAAGGAUGACAGGCAGAUUCUGUAAAGACAAACACAGGAUG
RNAcentral lists this small nuclear RNA (106 nucleotides) under Chinchilla lanigera (long-tailed chinchilla). The record is from RNAcentral. Lineage: Eukaryota; Metazoa; Chordata; Mammalia; Rodentia; Chinchillidae.